CAAAUAAGGUGAACCGUCGCUACUGACUUUAGCAACAGUUUGUUAAUUCAGUAGAGGAACUUCCCGACUCUCUGCCGACUUUGAGUGGGUAAGAUUGCCUCGCGAAACAGUAAGUGAGGGCAUUGCCGCGAGAGCGGGCAAUGACUACAACCGCAACAGAAAGCAUACCCACCUCGGAAAUUAAGUUUCUGGGGUAAGGGGUGAAACGGUGGGGUAAGAGCCCACCAGCAGUGUGUGGUAACACCUUUGGCUGGGCGAGCGUGCAAUUGAGAGCAAGGUGAGUGGGUCAGGCUACUUGAAUAGAUAGUUUGAUCUCAUCGCAGCAACGCGGGUGAGGCCGGGUAACACUCGGUAAGCCAUAAGUUGCCACCCCAUAACAUAUGUGGGUGAGAUAGAUGACGGUUAAAACAGAAUCGGGGGUACUCCCUUAUUUAUGAU
RNAcentral lists this RNase P RNA (438 nucleotides) under Phycisphaerae bacterium. RNAcentral's name for it is "RNase P RNA component class A". It matches the Rfam family "Bacterial RNase P class A". Rfam says of the family: Ribonuclease P (RNase P) is a ubiquitous endoribonuclease, found in archaea, bacteria and eukarya as well as chloroplasts and mitochondria. Its best characterised activity is the generation of mature 5'-ends of tRNAs by cleaving the 5'-leader elements of precursor-tRNAs. Cellular RNase Ps are ribonucleoproteins. Lineage: Bacteria; Pseudomonadati; Planctomycetota; Phycisphaerae. The record is from RNAcentral.